GAUUGUUCUUCUGGUGUUAGGUCCAACAUAUUCUUCAAGAUACUCCUGCAUAUCACAUACAAAGAGAAAUUGCAUGAGUUAGCUAAGAAUGACAUUGUCUUUCUAGUUUAAAAUUAGUAAAUAUGAAUGAGCUUAGAAAAUGUGAAAUGUAUAUCAAUAUUGUUUUCAACUGAAUGUCAAAAAUUCAUGUGAGCCAGGGAACUCUUAAUAUGGGAAGUAGCAAAGAUGCCAACUGCAGCCCGAACAAAUUCUUAUUGCAUUACCAACGGUUCCAAAUAAAUCAGUUUUCUUCACCAGUCAAAUAUCCAGAAUACAUAUGUAGCAAAACGAAGAGAGAAUCGAAAGCAUCUUUUACCCUUGAGUAGUGGGUGUCCAAGUCAACAGCCGCCCUUUGCUCAGGAGUUUUGGCCCGUAAGAAACGGAUUGCAACAGAUAAUGUUCGUCGAUCGAACUGCAAGAAAAAAAAAAGAGUAAAAAUUGACCAUCUUUUCGAGAAAUAAGUUCAAUGACAAAAUUUAGGUAUUAAACAUAAGAAACUCUGGUCUUAUGACAAUUAGGGUGUUAGUAUACCAGUGGGAUUUAAUUUAUCCAAGGAUUAAAGUUAGCUUUUAUUAGGAUUUGUGUUAUAAAUCCUAGUAACUCUUUUAAGGAUUUGCAAGUAGGAAUAUCAACUUAGGUUUUGCUAUUGUCGUGUUAUUCUCGUUCUUUUCUUCUUCCUUCUCUUCUUUCUCUUUUCUUAUUCUCCUUUUGUUCUCAGCUUUCUGCACUACUUCGUUAUUUCUUUACUUCUUUAUAUAAAAAUUUUUAUUUUCAUAUCCCUGAAUUUUCCCACACCACUUAUAAUAAUAAUAAUAAAAAAACCUUUCCACACCAAAGCCAUCUUCAUAACACCCCAAAACCUACUACCUAGAUAUUCCUGUACUAUAUUCUUUAUUUUCUGUGUCCUGCUUUCAAAACUCCAGCUUUUACAAAAUGCUAUUUACCAGCAGUCACGAUCAUAACCCACCAUUUUCUUUGUAAGACAGUCCAUUAGCAAAUGAUCCUGAGGUAGAUCUUUGUUACUUUCCCUACUAUUACAGAAUAAUGCAUCCUGCACCUAGACAAUUAUUGGACUUCUCGUGUACUACAAUGGUUGAUAUAAUAAUCUCACAUGAAAUUGCAACUUGAGUGGGCUUGGCUGGAAUCAAGACCAAAUUGAACUGACCUAAGGAUAGUAAAGAUGCCCACAGCUGCCCACAGCUUAACUCCUAUACCAUGUUGUGGAUUCUUAAUUUAAGCUUCAGCCCAGAUAGCCUAGUAAAGAUUGAAUUACACUAUGUUUGAUUUUGGUGUUCCUAAAUCCAGGACAAGGAUGAUUAAUGUCUGCUUUCCAAAUGAAAUACUGAUGGUAGGACGUUACAACAACUUUCAAUGUCUUGAAGGAAAACGAAGUUAACAAGUUACCAGCAUAAAGAGCUACAGAUUGACAGAAAAGACAUUUGAAACCAAUGAAGGAGACUAUAUAUGAUAUAGUGCAAAGGAGCAUAUAUUAGCCUUGCAAAUCAGACAGCCUUCAACGCUGCUCCUCCCGGCUCACAAUUUAUCUCCUCCAGCACUCAUUAUUCACCCCCAUUUAGUUCUAUAUGAACCUAAAGAAGUUUUGGUGUACAUAGAAUUGUUUCAUGAGAUGAAUUAUGACAGUAGUGCAACAGAUUCCAACUGUAUGCAGUCAUACUUGAUCAUCAAAUCAUGCAGUAGCAGUUCUAGUUCCCGAUGUUUCACAGUGGAAGGUCAAUUGUUUCUAGACCUUGGUUUUUCACUGCAUAAGCAAUACCCAGAUUGGAGUGUAAAAAUUACAAGCUUUAAUUAUUUAAAGGAUAUAUGGCAAAUUUUGUCCCCGGCCAAUGUCAUUUAAAGCCCUCUAAGAGAAAAUUUGAACAAAGAUGAACUAGACAUUUGAAACCAACAUGGAUUCAAAUGCGAUAUGUUGUUCACGGUGAACUGAAAAUAUUAAAAUUUAUGCACUUAUAAAUAAAAUGGAUGCGGAGCUGUAUUUGUUU
Long non-coding RNA from Alnus glutinosa, 2039 nucleotides. RefSeq lists it as uncharacterized. The transcript is spliced from 2 exons. The record is from RefSeq and is a predicted model, not a curated record. NCBI's taxonomy places the organism in Eukaryota, Viridiplantae, Streptophyta, Magnoliopsida, Fagales, Betulaceae.